GAUUUCAGUUUCCCAAACCUGAGGUGAUCUGUCAGCUGGAGAACUGGGACGAGCAAUGGAUCCUGGAUCUACCGAGAGCUGGGAAUAGGAAGGCUUCCGGUAGUGCUUGCCCAGGCGUACUCUCGCUCUGUCGCCAGGCUGUCUUAGCCUCCUGAGUAGCUUGGACUACAGGCGCGCGCCACCAUGCCCAGCUACUUUUGGUAUUUUAGUACAGACGGGGUUUCACCAUGUUGGUCAGGCUGGUCUGGAACUCCUGACCUCGUGAUCCGCCUGCCCCGGCCUCCCAAAGUGCUGGGAUUACAGGCGUGAGCCACUGCGCCCAGUUGGAAAAAGUUUUGUUUUUUUUUAAAACUAAAUGCUUCCAUGUACAUCAGAUGUUAACGACUUUGAUCCUAACAAA
This 400-nucleotide small RNA is filed under the name Pongo abelii (Sumatran orangutan). RNAcentral describes it as "processed transcript". The record is from RNAcentral. Lineage: Eukaryota; Metazoa; Chordata; Mammalia; Primates; Hominidae.